GGUGGUGCAUGGCCGUUCUUAGUUGGUGGAGCGAUUUGUCUGGUUAAUUCCGAUAACGAACGAGACUCUGGCAUGCUAACUAGUUACGCGACCCCCGAGCGGUCCGCGUCCCCCAACUUCUUAGAGGGACAAGUGGCGUUCAGCCACCCGAGAUUGAGCAAUAACAGGUCUGUGAUGCCCUUAGAUGUCCGGGGCUGCACGCGCGCUACACUGACUGGCUCAGCGUGUGCCUACCCUACGCCGGCAGGCGCGGGUAACCCGUUGAACCCCAUUCGUGAUGGGGAUCGGGGAUUGCAAUUAUUCCCCAUGAACGAGGAAUUCCCAGUAAGUGCGGGUCAUAAG
RNAcentral lists this ribosomal RNA (342 nucleotides) under Staphylococcus pseudintermedius. Its description in RNAcentral is "SSU rRNA". It matches the Rfam family "Eukaryotic small subunit ribosomal RNA", at positions 1276 to 1634 of the family's 1831-position model. Lineage: Bacteria; Bacillati; Bacillota; Bacilli; Caryophanales; Staphylococcaceae. The record is from RNAcentral.